AACGCAAGUUGCGCCCGAAGCCGUUUGGCAGAGGGCACGUUUGCCUGGGUGUC
This 53-nucleotide ribosomal RNA is filed under the name Calycolpus moritzianus. RNAcentral's name for it is "partial 5.8S ribosomal RNA". The record is from RNAcentral. Lineage: Eukaryota; Viridiplantae; Streptophyta; Magnoliopsida; Myrtales; Myrtaceae.